Molecule: transfer RNA, 72 nt
Filed under: Daphnia pulicaria
Lineage: Eukaryota; Metazoa; Arthropoda; Branchiopoda; Diplostraca; Daphniidae
Description: tRNA-Glu
Rfam family: tRNA
About the family: Transfer RNA (tRNA) molecules are approximately 80 nucleotides in length. Their secondary structure includes four short double-helical elements and three loops (D, anti-codon, and T loops).
Source: RNAcentral
GCCCAUAUUGUCUAGUGGUUAGGAUACCUGGCUCUCACCCAGGAGGCCCGGGUUCAAUUCCCGGUAUGGGAA